Molecule: long non-coding RNA, 2125 nt
Organism: Orcinus orca (killer whale)
Lineage: Eukaryota; Metazoa; Chordata; Mammalia; Artiodactyla; Delphinidae
Exons: 3
Source: RefSeq, a predicted model, not a curated record
GGAGGAGAGAGAUGGGGACUGGGGAAGCGUGAGGAGAGAAGGAACGGCCUCAGUGAUGGAGGUGGAGGGGGAAACAGGGAGCCCGACCCAGCCAGUGCUCUGGGGAGUAACUGCUGAUAUUCAGAAACCCUGCCACGCUGGAAGGCAUGCAGCACCUUAAAUCAGCCAAGGGAAUCGAUGGCUCACAACCACCGAGCGCUCACUGUGUACCAGGCGUUGUGCCAGAGCGCUCCCAGAGCAGCAUGGAGAACCGUCCACAGCACAGUUCUUCACAUAAUGUCAAAGAGCCUCAUGGAACAGCUCAUAGCGAUGGAAGAAAAAACCCAAAGAAGAAUUUUGUGGUCCCUUGCCACGAUGAAGAUGCUUUCUGGUUUGGAACUGUGGAAUGAAGGCAAUAGGUCUUAUUGGUGGAGGGCAGAGGCAGAGGGUAGAAGGGGGGAGGGGAAGAGCAGCAAAGAGAAAACCCGAUGGAAUCUUUAAAAUUAGGUUGUCAGGAGUUUAACUGGGGAGGAUUAUGAAACAAUUUUUGCAAAUUACAUAGCUCUGUGUCUGGAAGGAGGUGACAGGCAACAUCAGCUACAUGUUCAAAUUCAGCAUUUUGCUUUGGGGCAUGGAUGUGCUGAGGGUAAGGAGGAAGGAUCCAGAGGCUUCUUUAGGGCUGACAGAAAUGCUAAAAGCGGCAGGAAGCUCCCAGGUGGAGAGCUGCCAGAGAGUUCUAGUCUUCCUGGGCGGAAGUCAGGCAGGAGAAUGACAUACAGACCAAAGGUGAGAGUGUGAGAAGGGGCUAACCAGGUGUAACGGACCUCACCCUGAAGCACAGUGGUGGUCAUCUAGAUCAAUGAUCUGGGCAGUGACGGGGGUGAGCCAGUUAACAGACAUGGGAGUCAGUUAAGGAAAUGCUGGAUCUGCUCUACCACUAUUUUGUUGUGGAUAUUUGACCUUGGAUAAAUCACUUCACCUCUUUGAUCCUCAGUUUCUUUAUCUGUCAAAUGGGAAAGGUAACACCUACCUUACACUUUAUCUUCAGAACAAGAAUCAGAUACGUGAAGCUCCUGGGAGGUUCGCAGUGAAAGGAAGCUAUCUGUGAUUGACCAUUAACUAUAAUUAUUACUGAGGGCAAAGGAAAACUGUGUUUUAUAUUCCUCUCAGGUACUACAACAGCCCAGUUGAUUAUAGCUUAAUGUCCUAGUCUCCCUGUCACUCACCCUCCACAGUUCUAAUGAACGCUGUCACCAUGAUGCUUGAAGAAAGAGCUAGAUGUGGGCUUUGGAGUCAGAAAAGAUGGGGUAUUGAAUCAGAGCUCCGCUCAUUACUUAACCUUGAGCUAAUUGCUUGUCCUUUCUAAGCUUCAGUUUCCUCAACUACAGAAUGGAAUAAUAAUACAUUACUUGCAGGACUGUUUUGAAGAUCAGAUAAGAUAAUGUAUGUAGAGCUUCUAACAUAGGUAGGUACACAUUGUCUCUCAUGAAAACAAACUAUUGUGCUCCUCUUGAGCUCCCAAAGAAAAUGGUCCCUUUGAAAUAAGUAUAGAUUUAAAAAUCCAGGGAAAGAAUUCAAUAAAUAUUGUUGGGUCCAUUGAAUAUUGAUAUUAAAACAGCAACAACAACAAAACUCUCUUUGAUACUUAAUCUCUUCUAUACCCCAGAAUCAUUAACAGAUGGAUUGCAGAUCUAAAUGUGAAAAGUAAAAUAAUAACAUCAACAAAACACCUUUUAGAAGAAAACACAGAGGAGCAUCCUUAUGACAUUGGAGUAGUCAAAGAUUUCUUAACACAGCUCGCCAUAAAGGGAAAAAACAUGUUGAUUAAUAGGGAUAUAUUAGGAUUAAAACACAUGAAUCAAAAGAUACCAUUCAAAGAGUGAAAAGACAACCCUUAGUUAGAAGGGUUAGUUAGAAAAUAUAUUUGCAAUAUCUUUACCCAAAGACUAUACUUAUAGUACAUAAAUAACUCCUACACUGGCUGGAUGCUGGGCUAGUCAAAGGCAUUUCAUGCUGCCUGAGUUUGCCACUCCUUCCUGGGUCUCUUUAAACCAGAGUAGAUGCAAUUAUCACAAUUUAUAUUUUUCUUCAGAAGGUUCUCACUAAACUGUCUAAUAAAUGUGAUUUGUCCCAGAAAAAAAAAAAA